This is a long non-coding RNA of Papilio polytes (common Mormon), 1797 nucleotides long. RefSeq lists it as uncharacterized. NCBI's taxonomy places the organism in Eukaryota, Metazoa, Arthropoda, Insecta, Lepidoptera, Papilionidae. The record is from RefSeq and is a predicted model, not a curated record. The transcript is spliced from 5 exons.
GGUUGUGUGCAUGUAUACAACUAAUUGGUUAGGCUCUGUAAAUGUUUGCAAUCCUGUUAGAUCGUGUUGUGAAGUUUUCACCAAAAAUUUUAGGACGGUGUUUCUGAAAUCACAUGAUUGUUAUUUCAUUAUCUCCGACGCUAGCCCAUAAUGGAGGCUAUUUAACUUAAGGGGUAAAGAAAUUAAAUAAAUAACCUAAUGCUGGAAAGAUACUAUUAGCUACGAGCUGCCAACAUCAAGGAGACGAAUGAAGCCGCACGGAAACUGCUAUUUUGGAAGCUAAAAAGAAGGAGAAGGAGAAGAAAAGAACUACUUACAACUUAUUUAAGAUUUGAAAAAUAAAUAUGGAUAAAUUCAAUUUUUGUCAGGAAAUUUUCGUUAUCAAAUCGAACGCCGGCUUCGCGAACAAAUGACUAUUGAAUUUAUGUCAAUUUGAAUUACUUGUCAUUUCAUUCGGCAAAUAUACGUCGGUGUGAAAAACACGUUUCCAUUAAUGUGACGCAGCUUUUAAUUUUUUUUUUCAAUUUCAAAGGUUUAAACUUUUUUACGAGCAAUGUAAAUAACCGCUUUACACUAUAGAAAUUCAAAAGUCUAAGUUCGCUUUGUAAUUUUAUUGGAAUUAAUAUAAAAAUGAACGUUUUGUUAGAUACAUCGUUUUUUCAAAAUUGUGGCAUCAGUUAUCUAGAAAAAUCGUGUAGCAAAUAUUUAUAAAUUUAUAGUGAUAAAAACUUUCAUGUCAAACUUGAAAUUGUGAUUAAGUAAUUUGAAUGAAUACACUUUGAAACGUGGAAUUAACACUCUACUUACUAAAUGUAAAAAACAAACAGAAAUUAAAUAAGUAUAAACGUGAAAGGAAAAAUUAAGCGAAAAAAUGAAGGUUGGCAUUUCACACAAAUUUGAUUGGAUUUGCGAGGAUUUGUGUUCGUCUACGUCAAAUUCAUCGUGCCACAAAUGAGAGCAGAAAAUCCUCGGACGAAAAAAAGAAAAUAAUAUCACGUCUACUGGAAAAUGGUGUUACUUUUGGAACAAAAGAAUAUAUUUUUCACCACUAAAAUAAAAAAAGGUGUGUGGUGGCCCCCGUGUUCUAUUGCGGACGCGUCAUGCGAGUAAUCGAUUUGUCUGGACGCUGCUGAGCCGUGGCUUUCGUGACUCGGGGAACUUCUACCACAAUGUACGAUAGCUAGACUGCAAAUAUCUAGGACAUAGACAAAUUCAAACGUCUAUCGUCUUCUGCAGAUUUCGUAGAUGCAUUCAGCCAGAUAGAUCCAGUGAGGGCGCUAUUCAAAUGGUUCUGAGUUAAUUCUACGGCAGCUUUGAGCACCAGUCUGAAGAGGACGCUAUCUAAUAUCAACAGGGAUCUAGUUAAUUUUAUAAUAAACCUACAAGUGUUUUAUUUUAUGUCAAAGAAUAACAAAAUUAGUAGUCACUCCUAUUUGCUCUAUGACAAACUCUAUACAAAAAGUGUAAUGCGUUUAGAAUGAAGUAUUUUUAUAGAAACAUUUAUUUUCCACAUCCAUUGAACUAUUUGUUUGCCUCCACUUUUUACAGUGAAAAGUUCGAAUAUAGUUUGAAAACAAACAGAACCUCCUGUUAGCGGUAAGCUUUGGAUGUCGUGAAUUAAAUUUUCAUGUUGUAAAUUAAAAUACAAAUUGAAUUUGUUACACAACAUUGGUGUUGACUAGCGUAAAAUUAACGUUUACUAAUCAGUUAGACUGUUCAGUUAGAACUGUCGGAACUUAAACGAAAACUCUACCUCUUGUUUGUUUUUAUAUAAACACUAGCUAUUCCCGUGCGGCU